RNAcentral lists this ribosomal RNA (433 nucleotides) under uncultured bacterium. Its description in RNAcentral is "partial 16S ribosomal RNA". It matches the Rfam family "Bacterial small subunit ribosomal RNA", at positions 29 to 507 of the family's 1533-position model. The record is from RNAcentral.
AACGAACGCUGGCGGCAUGCCUAACAUAUGCAAGUCGAACGAGACCUUCGUGUCUAGUGGCGCACGGGUGCUUAACGCGUGGUAACCUACCCUUAGGUUCGCAAUAACUCCCCUUAAGGGGUCCUAAUACCGGAUAAUGUCUUCCGAGCAAAGAUUUAUCGCUUUUGGAUGGGCGCGCGUUGGUUUAGCUAGUUGGUAGUGUAAAAGCCUAGCAAGGCUACGAUCCAUAGCUGGUCUGAGAGGAUGAUCAGCCACACUGGGACUGAGACACGGACCAGAAUCCUAGGGAAGGGGGCAGUGGGGAAUAUUGGACAAUGGGCGAAGGCCUGAUCAAGCAAUGCCGCGUGAGUGAUGAAGGCCUUAGGGUUGUAAAGCUCUUUUACACGGGAUGAUAAUGACAGUACCGGGAGAAUAAGCUCCGGCUAACUACGUG